GAUGAACGCUGGCGGCGUGCUUAACACAUGCAAGUCGAACGGGAAACCUUUUAUUGAAGCUUCGGCAGAUUUAGCUGGUUUCUAGUGGCGGACGGGUGAGUAACGCGUGGGUAACCUGCCCUAUACAGGGGGAUAACAACCAGAAAUGGUUGCUAAUACCGCAUAAGCGCACAGGGCCGCAUGGUCCGGUGUGAAAAACUCCGGUGGUAUAGGAUGGACCCGCGUUGGAUUAGCCAGUUGGCAGGGUAACGGCCUACCAAAGCGACGAUCCAUAGCCGGCCUGAGAGGGUGAACGGCCACAUUGGGACGGAGACACGGCCCAGACUCCUACGGGAGGCAGCAGUGGGGAAUAUUGCACAAUGGGGGAAACCCUGAUGCAGCGACGCCGCGUGAAGGAAGAAGUAUCUCGGUAUGUAAACUUCUAUCAGCAGGGAAGAUAGUGACGGUACCUGACUAAGAAGCCCCGGCUAACUACGU
Molecule: ribosomal RNA, 477 nt
Filed under: uncultured bacterium
Lineage: Bacteria
Description: partial 16S ribosomal RNA
Rfam family: Bacterial small subunit ribosomal RNA
Source: RNAcentral